CUACGGGCCGCUGCAGUGGGGAAUAUUGCACAAUGGGGGAAACCCUGAUGCAGCAACGCCGCGUGGAGGAUGACGCAUUUCAGUGUGUAAACUCCUUUUAUAUAGGAAGAUAAUGACGGUACUAUAUGAAUAAGCACCGGCUAACUCCGUGCCAGCAGCCGCGGUAAUACGGAGGGUGCAAGCGUUACUCGGAAUCACUGGGCGUAAAGCGAGCGCAGGCGGCCCCUUAAGUUGGAUGUGAAAGCCUACGGCUUAACCGUAGAACUGCAUCCAAAACUGAGGGGCUAGAGUCUGGGAGGGGAAGAUGGAAUUAGUUGUGUAGGGGUAAAAUCCGUAGAGAUAACUAGGAAUACCAAAAGCGAAGGCGAUCUUCUGGAACAGUACUGACGCUGAGGCGCGAAAGCGUGGGGAGCAAACAGGAUUAGAUACCCGAGUAGUC
This 439-nucleotide ribosomal RNA is filed under the name uncultured bacterium. RNAcentral's name for it is "partial 16S ribosomal RNA". It matches the Rfam family "Bacterial small subunit ribosomal RNA", at positions 339 to 795 of the family's 1533-position model. The record is from RNAcentral.